Molecule: non-coding RNA, 75 nt
Organism: Triticum aestivum (bread wheat)
Lineage: Eukaryota; Viridiplantae; Streptophyta; Magnoliopsida; Poales; Poaceae
Source: Rfam
GAGCAAAUGAUGAUGCAUAUGAUUAGUCUGAUCCAUUUGAUGUUUCAAAAUCGAGCUUUUUAAACCUGAUGCUCA